This 66-nucleotide small RNA is filed under the name Virgibacillus salinus. RNAcentral describes it as "Bacillaceae-1 RNA". It matches the Rfam family "Bacillaceae-1 RNA". Lineage: Bacteria; Bacillati; Bacillota; Bacilli; Caryophanales; Bacillaceae. The record is from Rfam by way of RNAcentral.
GGAAAAGGAAGAUCGACUAAGACCGCCGCUUUGCGCGGCAACGUCGACCUACCCGCGAUACGCGGG